UUACAAAAUUUUAUGCUAGUAGUUGUGGUGAGUUGACCCUGGCUAGAUGCCAGCUGUCCACCAAAGCCGCUCUAUCACUGCCCCUCCUCAGCUGGACAG
Molecule: long non-coding RNA, 99 nt
Organism: Egretta garzetta (little egret)
Lineage: Eukaryota; Metazoa; Chordata; Aves; Pelecaniformes; Ardeidae
Exons: 3
Source: RefSeq, a predicted model, not a curated record